GUAGUAGUAGUAGUAAUAGUAAUAAUAAUAGUAAUGACAUACAGACACACAGACACACACAAUUAUUAUUUAUUAUUAUUAUUAUUAUUAAUUUUUUGGGUAUAAAAAUUACAUAGGCCUAUAGAAUUACAUAGGCCUAUACAAAAUUUAAGAAAAAUAUAUAGGCCUAUACAAUAUUACAUAGGCCUAUACAGAAUUACAUAGGUCUAUACAAAAUUACAUAGGCCUAUACAAUAUUACAUAGGCCUAUAUAGAGUUACAUAGGCCUAUACAAUAUUACAUAGGUCUAUACAUAAUUAUAUAGGCCUAUACAGAAUUACAGGCCUAUACAAUAUUACAUAGGCCUAUACAGAAUUACAUAGGCCUAUAUAGUUACAUAGGCCUAUAUAAAAUUUAAGAAAAAAUAUAUAGGCCUUUAGAAACUUACAUAGGCCUAUACAAAAUUUUAUAAAAAAUAUAUAGGCCUUUAGAAACUUACAUAGGCCUAUAUAGAGUUACAUAGGCCUAUACAAAAUUACAGACCUAUACAAAAAAAUCACAAGAAUUACAUAGGCCUAUACAGAAUGACAUACCUAUAUAGAGCAAUAUUUCUAGGUUGUAUAGGCCUAUGGAGGGUUUAAAAAGGUUGCUUAGGCCUAUAUAGAAAUUUAUUAGGCCUAUGGAAAAUUAAGAAAAUAAUUUAUGUACAGGAGAAAUAAUAGGAAUUUUUGGCCUAUCUAAUAAUUUCCUAGGCCUAUACAAAUUACAUAGGCCUAUUAUAUGCUAUGAAAUUAAUAGAAAAUAUGAAUAGCCUUUUGGUGGAUAUAUAGGCCUAUCUAGGGAAAUUUUUAGGCCUAUACAAAUUGCAUAGGCCUUUUCAAUGCUAUAAAAUUACAAAAAAUAGGCCUAUAUAGAUCAUUUCUAGGGUCUAUAGGCCUAUAAAAUGAGAAAAAUGAAUAGGCCUACUUAGAUCAGCAUUCUAGGCCUCUUGGUGGUUAUAUAGGCCUAUGUAGGGAGAAUUUUUUGGCCUAUACAAAUUACAUAGGCCUAUUUUUUGUGUGUUCCCAGGAGGAGACAAGCCGGCUGUACGCAGGCUGUGUCCUCGCUUAGGCCUACCCCCUCCCUCCCCUUCACCCUGCAUCGCUUGGCAACUGGAAAAUCUCCUGAAAAAUGCAGCCUAAUGUGAGAGAGUGAGUGAAAGUGAGAGAGUGAGAGAGAGAUUAGAGCGAGAGGGGAGUGGGUAGGUGACGGAUUAGAGCGAG
Portunus trituberculatus (swimming crab) is the source of this 1241-nucleotide long non-coding RNA. RefSeq lists it as uncharacterized. The transcript has 2 exons. NCBI's taxonomy places the organism in Eukaryota, Metazoa, Arthropoda, Malacostraca, Decapoda, Portunidae. The record is from RefSeq and is a predicted model, not a curated record.